GUGGACCCGGUACACCGUCGGUCACUGCGCGCCGCCCCCAAUACAACUCUCGGCGCCUGCGCAGCUGGGAAAGGCGACCGUGCGGUGAGGCCUUUCCUCGGUUCUCUUACUGGUUUGGGUAUCAGAGCGCCACGGAGACGUCAGACCGAACCCGGCUAGGUUUGUUGGCUCCGAUGGCCUGAGGCGUGCCUGCUGGUUUCGCAGUGCGGAGUUUCGAGUGCCUUCCGUGCUGAAAACUUAGAAAAAGUCCUAUGCUGUCUUUUUUAGCUUGCCUAUCCGUCUGACCCGUGAGAACUGAGACCAACACUCCACGACAUCUGGACAGCCUGCCUUGUCGGAGCCUCCCUGAGUGGGGAUUUCUUUCUUGAGUGGGGACCAAAAGCCCAGUGCUGCCAGAGAGACAAUUAACAAACACAUAAAAGAGUGAGUAAUUACCAUGAACUUUUCAAAAAAGGACUUGCGCAUCUUCGGACUUUGGUAUGUGGGGGGGUCCAGGAACCAACCCCUGCAGAAACUGAGGGACAACUGUGCUCAUCAUCCAGCUUCAACAACAAUCAACUUUCUGGUUUUCUCAUUUCAUCUAUCCCUUUCUGCAUUUUUUUUCCUGUAUGUUAAAGCAAAUCCUGGACAUCAUGUCAUCUCACAUAUAAAUACUUAAGUGUGUGUCUCUCAUAAGAACUUUAAAAAAUACUAUCACGCUCAUCAAAAUUAAAAAUAAUUCUUUAACAUCA
Lemur catta (Ring-tailed lemur) is the source of this 731-nucleotide long non-coding RNA. RefSeq lists it as uncharacterized. The transcript is spliced from 2 exons. The record is from RefSeq and is a predicted model, not a curated record. NCBI's taxonomy places the organism in Eukaryota, Metazoa, Chordata, Mammalia, Primates, Lemuridae.